Molecule: unclassified non-coding RNA, 1132 nt
Filed under: Hevea brasiliensis (rubber tree)
Lineage: Eukaryota; Viridiplantae; Streptophyta; Magnoliopsida; Malpighiales; Euphorbiaceae
Source: RNAcentral
CUCGCACCAUACAUUGGCCUCUUAUUUUCAGUGUGUUGAUUUUUAAUGUCGAUUCUAACUUCCCCUUUUCAUUCUCUUUCUCCCUUCCCCCAAUAAUUUAGGGUUCCCCAGAGUCUAUUGGUCUAUCAAUUUCAAUCCUCCUUGAUUCGUGCGAUAAUCCCCUCGAAUCUAUACAAAACCAUGAAGCAGCAAACCAAGAGGAAAAAGAAGAAGCACCGUCCCUCGCGCGCCUCCAAUCCCUCUGGAAACCAAGCACCUCAUGAUGGAGAACAAAAUCAACAACAGCAGCAGCAACAAACCAAUACGGUUUUGUCGUUAAUGGAGGCGUUUGAUUCCGUCUCUUUCGAAGAAGCCUCCUCGGCUUGCAGAGAAGCCAAUGGUGAUGUAAACAAAGUGGCUGGCAUCUUAGCCAACUUGACAGACAAUGUAGAGGAUCCGUCUACGAGUUCUGUUUCGAGUUUGGACUUUGGUUCGGGUUUCAACUCGAGUAUUGCGGGUUCCAGUUCGGGCUCCUCGGAGGGGUACAUGGAGGCGAAUAUGAAUAUGGUGAACAGGAAAGGCUUUCGAGGAAGUAAUAAGCAGAAGAAAGUCGUGGCCGCUACGGGGACGGUUUCAACGGUUCUGGGAAAGGAGUAUGUCAAGGCAAGCCCUAGGAGGGAUUCCGCGAAAACAAAGGAGUUUGUUAAUGGUGUUGUGGUGAAGGAAGAGGCUGAGCAGUUCUUGUGUUCUAUGCUCAGUGACGAUUGCGAGCUAAGCAUGGCUAUUGUUAGAGAUGUCCUAUGUCAGUGUGGAUAUGAUGUUGAAAAGGCUUUGGAUGCAUUGCUUGAUUUAUCUGCUUCCUCCAUUGAGCAGUCAAGGAAUACUUCUGUUGUUGAGCGUGAUGAUAAUGCAACAGAUAGGGCAUCUGAUUGCACUUCUCAUUCAACUGAAAGUGAAGUUCAUGGAAGCAUAUGGGGCUAUGAUUGCAGGAAUUAUUCUGAGGUCCUUACUGGUUUUGAAGCUCCAUCAAGCAGCCCAAGAAGUAAUCAGUCAGAUCUCCCUCAAAAGGUGUUGGAAUCUUUGUUUCACACCUCCAGAAGCUCUGAACAUGAACCAGGCACCAUGAAUUGGAGGAAUGUGGUAAAAAAAAUGC